CACUGUACAAUGGAUUUCUCGGCUCCCACAUCGAUGAAGAACGCAGCAAAGCGCGAUAGGUAGUGUGAAUUGCAGAAUACCGUGAAUCAUCGAAUUUUUGAACGCAUAUUGCGCCCGGGUUUGAGCCUGGGCAUGUCUGCCUCAGCGUCGAUUUCCU
RNAcentral lists this ribosomal RNA (157 nucleotides) under Boodlea sp. 8 FL-2009. RNAcentral describes it as "5.8S ribosomal RNA". It matches the Rfam family "5.8S ribosomal RNA". From Rfam's summary of the family: 5.8S ribosomal RNA (5.8S rRNA) is a component of the large subunit of the eukaryotic ribosome. It is transcribed by RNA polymerase I as part of the 45S precursor that also contains 18S and 28S rRNA. The record is from RNAcentral. Lineage: Eukaryota; Viridiplantae; Chlorophyta; Ulvophyceae; Cladophorales; Boodleaceae.